GAUAAGUACAUAGAAGAAGUGCUGAAAGAGUUCUGCAUUGAAACCUUCAAGAGAGAUCUGUUAUCCUUCUGUAUAUAGGUGUAUGCCAUGCUAUGUACUCGACUUGCUAUAUCUUGCUGUGAAAGUCAUGAGCAAAUAUUAGUUGAAUCCAGAUUGGGAGCAUUGGAUUGCUGUGAAAAUACUCCUCAGUACUUGAGAAGCACUAAGGAAUUAUUCCUCAUCUUUGAAGAAGGGA
Molecule: long non-coding RNA, 235 nt
Filed under: Elaeis guineensis (African oil palm)
Lineage: Eukaryota; Viridiplantae; Streptophyta; Magnoliopsida; Arecales; Arecaceae
Description: long non-coding RNA (EGUI_LNC042580)
Source: RNAcentral